RNAcentral lists this long non-coding RNA (1007 nucleotides) under Equus asinus (donkey). RNAcentral's name for it is "lncRNA (ENSEASG00005038663.1)". The record is from RNAcentral. Lineage: Eukaryota; Metazoa; Chordata; Mammalia; Perissodactyla; Equidae.
AAAAUAAUUAAAAAAUUUUUUCCACUUGCAAGUAAUAUUUGCUACAGACUAUAAAUAGUACAUUGAUGCUACAAACUGUCCACACCAUACUACAGUCCUAAGGCUGGGCCGUCCUCUCUGCUAUAUCAUCACAUAGAAGGCAAACAGCCGCGCAAUGCUACUCUGCCGUCUUGAGACCCUGCCAAGACGUUUCAGAAGCAGCUAUCCCUAAUAGCAGAAUUGAAAGGUAUCUCUCUUAAACUAGUCUUUAUGGUUUUUGGCUCAAUUCUAUAGAUUAAAAACUUUUUAAAAAAUUAGUCUAAAAUUCUGGGAAUUACCAUUUUUGGACUAUCUGUAGUUUUUCAAAAGACAGGAAAAUGGCAGGGAGAAGCUAGAGUGUUAAGUUCAGUGAAAGCUCAUUUAAAAGCAAAUCACCAUCAAUGGAAAAGCUUUUCAAGUAUAAGAAAUUUGAAAAUAAUAGCUAUUAAGUGGAAGACAAAUCCAUUGUCAAAAGCCAGUAAGGAGUUCCAUCUGUCUUUUUCCACUACUAUGUUUCCUAAUAUUUUAAAUGAGGUAAGUAAGAAUCACAAGAAAGAUUCUAAAAAUUGUAGCAGGUUCUGCCCAGAUCCGACCCACCUAGUAUCUUAGACACUGAGAACCAAUUAUUGAAAAAGUAGGAACAACAUAGCAAGGAAACAGAGAAACUUUGGCAUAUGAAAAAUGAUGUAAUUUUGUUUUCUAAAAUUCACUUAUUCAGGCCAGUUUCUUGUGAUGUGUGCUCUGCACUGAUCAGACCCAGGUCCAAGGUAAAAGAUGGGGAACUGGCCGUCUUCCCGAGGAGCGCCGAAAGCACCCCUUCAACUGUCGAGAAGGCAAAGGCUCUCUGUGCCCACUGUUCUUCCCCCUCAGCCGCCUUGACUCCUGCUGUGUGUACAGCUUCUCCAGCCACAGUGGAUGGUGGGGCUCUGGGUGGGACAACUGAGGCAGCCUUACAGGAAUUCUUCCGUCUUUAGUGCUUCAGGGAAUUU